RNAcentral lists this ribosomal RNA (256 nucleotides) under uncultured bacterium. RNAcentral's name for it is "partial 16S ribosomal RNA". It matches the Rfam family "Bacterial small subunit ribosomal RNA", at positions 521 to 776 of the family's 1533-position model. The record is from RNAcentral.
UAAUACGUAGGUGGCGAGCGUUAUCCGGAAUUACUGGGUGUAAAGGGUGCGUAGGCGGUAUGUGAAGUCAGAUGUGAAAUGCCGUGGCUUAACCACGGAGCUGCAUUUGAAACUCACAUACUUGAGUGAAGUAGAGGUAAGCGGAAUUCCUAGUGUAGCGGUGAAAUGCGUAGAUAUUAGGAGGAACACCAGUGGCGAAGGCGGCUUACUGGGCUUUAACUGACGCUGAGGCACGAAAGCAUGGGGAGCAAACAGG